UGACGAUUGCGUUUGGUUCCUGGAGU
This 26-nucleotide non-coding RNA is filed under the name Homo sapiens (human). Lineage: Eukaryota; Metazoa; Chordata; Mammalia; Primates; Hominidae. The record is from RNAcentral.